This 713-nucleotide ribosomal RNA is filed under the name uncultured fungus. Its description in RNAcentral is "eukaryotic LSU rRNA". The stretch from base 184 to 338 matches the Rfam family "5.8S ribosomal RNA". Lineage: Eukaryota; Fungi. The record is from RNAcentral.
UUGUUGCUGGUCUCCGUAUGGGGGCAUGUGCACGCUCUGUUUACACAUCCACUCACACCUGUGCACGCUCUGUAGUUCUAUGGCCUGGGUGGGCUCUGUCCUCCUGCUGUGGUUCUAUGUCUUUACACACACACUACAACAAAGUCUCAUGGAAUGUAUGUCGCGUUUAACGCAAUGGAAUACAACUUUCAGCAACGGAUCUCUUGGCUCUCGCAUCGAUGAARAACGCASCGAAAUGCGAUAAGUAAUGUGAAUUGCAGAAUUCAGUGAAUCAUCGAAUCUUUGAACGCACCUUGCGCCCUUUGGCUAUUCCGAAGGGCAUGCCUGUUUGAGUAUCAUGAACACCUCAACUCUCAUGGCUUGCCAUGAUGUGCUUGGACUUUGGGGGUCUUGUUGGCCUGUGAGCCAGCUCCUCUUAAAUGAAUCAGCUUGCCGGUGUUUGGUGGCGUCACAGGUGUGAUAACUAUCUACGCUUGUGGUUUCCCACCAGGGUAACCUUCAGCAAUGAAGGUUCACCGGAGCUUAUAAAUGUCUCUCCUCAGUGAGGACAGAUUUUGACCAUUUGAUCUCAAAUCAGGUAGGACUACCCGCUGAACUUAAGCAUAUCAAUAAGCGGAGGAAAARAAACUAACAAGGAUUCCCCUAGUAACUGCGAGUGAAGCGGGAARAGCUCAAAUUUAAAAUCUGGCGUGCCUCCGGCCGUCCGAGUUGUA